UACGUAGGGGGCAAGCGUUGUCCGGAAUUAUUGGGCGUAAAGCGCGCGCAGGCGGUUCAUUAAGUCUUCUGUUUAAUGCAUGGGCUCAACCCGUGUUCGCAGGGGAAACUGGUGGACUGGAGUGCAGGAGAGGAAAGUGGAAUUCCACGUGUAGCGGUGAAAUGCGUAGAGAUGUGGAGGAACACCAGUGGCGAAGGCGACUUUCUGGCCUGUAACUGACGCUGAGGCGCGAAAGCGUGGGGAGCAAACAGG
Molecule: ribosomal RNA, 252 nt
Filed under: uncultured bacterium
Lineage: Bacteria
Description: partial 16S ribosomal RNA
Rfam family: Bacterial small subunit ribosomal RNA
Source: RNAcentral